CUCAAACUCCCGGCUCAAGUGAUCCUGGGCUCAAGUGAUCCUUGGCCCCAGCCUCCAGAGUAGCUGGGACUACAGGCACACGCCACCACACCUGGUUAAGUUUUUGUAGAGAUGGGAUCUCACUAUGCUGCCCAGGCUGGUCUCAAGCUUCUCAAAGUUCUAGGAUUACAGGCAUGAGCCACUGCGCCCAGUUGGGAUUCAUUAUUCUAUGGCGGCCACUCUAUAUCUGUUUGACAAUGUCUACACCUGAUGUAGCUGACGUCAGAACCAUCAAUGUGCUUAACAUCAGAGACUCCACCUAGACUGCCUGAGUUCAAAAAUCCCAGCUCCCAGCCAACCUUCACCUCGUUCCAUCAGCGAGUUGAGAAGGGAUGCGUUGGAGAAGAAGAACAAGUAGCCAAAAGUCUGAGACACGAGGUCAGGGUGCAGCUCGCACUGGCUGGUCAGCUCCAAGGCUGCCUGGAACACGCCCAGGGUCCAGUGGAUUUGUGCUUCCUCGCCUCCAAGAAUGAACUCGCUCACUGCUAUCCAAGCUCCAAGCCCAAUGGGCUGCGGUGAAUUCUCACACUGAUCUCUGUCAACUUCUCAUCCAGUGGGAUCUCUCCCCCACCAUCUCCCAUAAUGGUUUCUUCCUAAGAGGAUUUCAAAGAGAUAAUCCCCCUUCCAUCAAUGGAUGUUCUCAAUAUUCCUACAAUGGACUCCUACAAUGGACUCACCUAUUACUCCCACUCCCCCAACGGAGGAUUUCAAAGAGAUAACCCCCCUUCCAUCAAUGGACGUUCUCAAUAUUCCAAUCCCCAAAAAGGACAUCUCCAAAAAGAUCUCCAUACAGUGGGCUCUUCUGGUCAUUCCACGGAUAAAUAAAUGCCUUCACGGACAACCUCUUACCAUGGAGUGUUCCAUCUCAUUUAUCAAAUGAAGACAGGCAUUCCAGAAGACCUCGUCCUAAAAAAUGGACUCUCAUCUCCAUUCCAUAAAUGUAGAACCACUCAAUCUGACCCCCUUCCAUUCGCCAACCAUGUCUGAGACAACAGGCAUCUUGAUAUGCAUAGAUCCCCCUUCUACACUAAAUUCUACCAUUACCCCUACCCCAUGAAUGGGUGUUUCCAAAAAGACUCCUACCUCCAAAAGAUUUGCUCAUCUACCCUUGUAGAAAAAUGGGUCUUUCCAGUCUUACCACCUUCUGAAGGUAGACUCUCCUGUUCUUCAUUCCUGUCUGAAGGAAUGGGAUGACCCAAAAUAAAAGCCCCCUUUCUACAAUGGGCUCUCCUGCUCCCUAACCCAGGAAGGGAUGCUUUCUUGGCACCUACAGUGAACUUUCACUUCACAGCCACUCCAUGAAUCGGCA
This 1348-nucleotide long non-coding RNA is filed under the name Homo sapiens (human). RNAcentral describes it as "HSALNT0261190". Lineage: Eukaryota; Metazoa; Chordata; Mammalia; Primates; Hominidae. The record is from RNAcentral.